AUUGAACGCUGGCGGCAUGCCUUACACAUGCAAGUCGGACGGUAACAGGUCUUCGGAUGCUGACGAGUGGCGAACGGGUGAGUAAUACAUCGGAACGUGCCUAGUAGUGGGGGAUAACUACUCGAAAGAGUGGCUAAUACCGCAUGAGAUCUACGGAUGAAAGCAGGGGAUCGCAAGACCUUGUGCUACUAGAGCGGCCGAUGGCAGAUUAGGUAGUUGGUGGGAUAAAAGCUUACCAAGCCGACGAUCUGUAGCUGGUCUGAGAGGACGUUCAGCCACACUGGGACUUAGAAACGGCCCAGACUCCUACGGGAGGCAGCAGUGGGGAAUUUUGGACAAUGGGCGCAAGCCUGAUCCAGCAAUGCCGCGUGCAGGAUGAAGGCCUUCGGGUUGUAAACUGCUUUUGUACGGAACGAAAAGCCCCGGGUUAAUACCCUGGGGUCAUGACGGUACCGUAAGAAUAAGCACCGGCUAACUACGUGCCAGCCGCCGCAGUAA
This 498-nucleotide ribosomal RNA is filed under the name uncultured bacterium. RNAcentral describes it as "partial 16S ribosomal RNA". It matches the Rfam family "Bacterial small subunit ribosomal RNA", at positions 30 to 523 of the family's 1533-position model. The record is from RNAcentral.